This 67-nucleotide transfer RNA is filed under the name Marmota monax (woodchuck). RNAcentral describes it as "tRNA.Ala". The record is from RNAcentral. Lineage: Eukaryota; Metazoa; Chordata; Mammalia; Rodentia; Sciuridae.
GGAUGUGGCUCAGAGGUAGAGUGCUCGCCUAGCAUGUACGAGGCACUGGGUUCGAUCCUCAGCACCA